Molecule: long non-coding RNA, 460 nt
Filed under: Mytilus galloprovincialis (Mediterranean mussel)
Lineage: Eukaryota; Metazoa; Mollusca; Bivalvia; Mytilida; Mytilidae
Source: RNAcentral
GGGGGUUUUAAGCAGAUAUCAGUUUUUGAUUGUAGGUUAUUCUUCAACUUUUUUUUGUGUCAACUACACGUACCAAAAAUGAUUGCCUACCUUUUUCCGGUUGGUGUUCCUUGCUCUGCCUCUUGGUAAACACGUUUCGUUCCCUGGCAGUGCAUUGCCCCAUAUACGACACGUAAUACGUAUAUAUGAGAAUGUUAUUAUACUUAAAGGGACAACAUAUUGAAGUAAAAUCAAGUAUGCACCGUACAAUGUACGAAAGUUUUCUGAUGGCCAUUUUACUACGCACAUUUUCCUCUCCGGUAAGUCCUUUAAUUUAAACAUACUUUCAAUUGUAUGGAAUAGCGCAUAUGGUACAGCUGAUAGUGUACUAACAAGCCAUAUUAUUAAUAACACAACAAUUGCCACAGUUUUGCGAAAGCCGGCAUGAAGUGGAUGUAGGACAGCAAUAUACCUAUCAAUG